GUGCCAGCCGCCGCGGUAAUACCGGCAGCCCAAGUGAUGGCCGCUGUUAUUGGGCCUAAAGCGUCCGUCGCUGGCCGCACGAGUCCGUCGGGAAAUCCACUCGCCCAACGAGUGGGCGUCCGACGGAAACUGCACAGCUUGGGACCGGAAGGCUCGAAGGGUACGUUCGGGGUAGGAGUGAAAUCCCGUAAUCCCGGACGGACUACCGAUGGCGAAAGCACUCUGAGAAGACGGCUUCGACAGUGAGGGACGAAAGCUCGGGUCUCAAACCGGAUUAGAUACCCUGGUAGUCC
This 293-nucleotide ribosomal RNA is filed under the name uncultured bacterium. RNAcentral's name for it is "partial 16S ribosomal RNA". It matches the Rfam family "Archaeal small subunit ribosomal RNA", at positions 455 to 747 of the family's 1478-position model. The record is from RNAcentral.